RNAcentral lists this long non-coding RNA (1205 nucleotides) under Lonchura striata (white-rumped munia). Its description in RNAcentral is "domestica (Bengalese finch) lncRNA (ENSLSDG00000003251.1)". Lineage: Eukaryota; Metazoa; Chordata; Aves; Passeriformes; Estrildidae. The record is from RNAcentral.
CGCCCCGGGGCUCGGCCAGCCGGGAGGGAAGGGCUGCGGGCAGGGCAGGAGGUGAGCCCCGCUCUCCGCACCCGCGCACACCCCUGCGCAUCCCUGCGCGCCCGCCCGGCCCCGCGCACGCAUCUGCGCGGGUCUCCGCGGAACUGCCCGGGGCAUCCCGCAGCCCCCCGCUCUGCGCGGAACGCGGACUCCCCUCCCGCACCCCGCGGUGGCUCGGCCGGGAGAGACUUAACUGGAACCGCGGCUCGGGAGCGAAAAGUUCAGGGGCAGAGCCGCGGGCGCGGGCGGGAGGUGCCGGGCGCUCCGCGGGGUCCCGCCGCCCCGGCGCCGCUCUGCGCGGGCAGGGGCGCAGCCUCCGCGCCCGCGGACGCGCACCAUCUUCCCCCGGCUGCCGAGCUCUCCUCCAGCGGUGCAAUAUGGACGCACCGCUCCCUCCUAAUUAAAUUGCUGCAUCAUUCAUUUUCUGACGCGGGAGCGGCAUGGGGUACGGCGGGCUCCGUGCGCUGACACCCCCCGUUCGGAAUGGGGGGAGGCGGGGAAUAAAGGGCCAAAGGGGGAAUCACAACAGUUUGUUCUUGCAACAAGCUCGCACGGAGGGGCUUGGCAGCAACUCAGCAAAGCGACCUGAGGGAGCAAACCCCGCUGGGUUUGGGGGGCAGCCCCCCUUCCCCAUGGAUGCCGCCCCUGGAGCAGGGUCGCGGUGCGCGGGGGCAGGGAGCCUUGACCUGCAACUUUCCCAAAGGCCCCCGAAUAUCGCUCGUUUUCCCUGCCGGGGCUCCGGCCGUCGCGUUGUGCAGAGGGGCUGGCAGAGGGCAGGGAUGGCCCUGGGAUGCGGAGCAGGGAGCGCUGCGGGGAUGCACGCACAUCCCGCCGCGUUGCCCCGCAGGCAGGGACACACGGACACCCCUGUGCCCCCUGCCCGCCUGGGACACGGGACAGCCCCGCGGGAUGCCCCGGGGGAGGAGGAGGGAGGGGAUGGCCCCGCACCUCCCUUUCCAUCCUUUGUGCCCCCGCAGUUUCCCAGAGGGCUGAGGAGACUCAAAUCCACACAGAGAGGCGCCUCUCCCAGGGUUUGUCCGGGCCAUGUCCCCUUGUCCCCUGAGCCAGGAGGCAGAAGUCACCUCGGGCCAUCGCCUUCAUCUUCCUCCAGCCACAGCAGCUCCCGGCCCUCGUGUCUCUGCUCGGACAGUUGUGCUAUUUUCUGA